Molecule: long non-coding RNA, 2389 nt
Filed under: Hordeum vulgare
Lineage: Eukaryota; Viridiplantae; Streptophyta; Magnoliopsida; Poales; Poaceae
Description: long non-coding RNA (HVUL_LNC012878)
Source: RNAcentral
GGUACAGUCCCAGGUCAGGGCGCUCCUCUUGUGUCACCAAUGGUGCAGCCUGGGCAUCAGCCUCUCUCAGCUUCAGUGCCCUCGUAAGUUACUGCAAGGCCUCUGCUACAUUUCCAUCACUUGGUUUUUGUCUACUAAAAGACUGCUCCCGCAUCCAUUCAUUUUGUAUGCUACAUAAAAUUGGGUAUCCUUGCUUGUGCAACUACUCAGUUGGUGAAUGUGCAGGUGAGUUCAACUGAACCUAGCUCUGCAGAUUGGCAAAAACACAGUUCAGGGGAUGGAUGGAUAAGCUUUAAAUGCACGCCCGACAAAAGAUGAGUUAAGUACGAGCAUUGACGUGGUGUAGUAACUGAUCUCAAUUGUUUUGUCGCCUUUUUGAGCAACCAUGCUCGUUAGAUAUUAAUCUAUACUUAUACUAAUUACAGGCUUUCAAGAAAUUCCCAGGUAAAUUAGUAAAUAUGAGCGGUUAAUCUGGUAGGUCCAAAUUAUAACGGUGUAGAUUAGUUCGUUAAAAAUCCUGUGCCGUGAGGUUUUUUGUACUAUUUUCAUAGAGUUAUUUGCACGGACACAUCCAAGAUUUAAAAACAAUUUGCAUGCAAGUGUUUUGUCUUAUUAUAUCACCAAACAUCUUAUCUUACUUUAAAAAAAAGGCCCAUCGAGGCUCAUGUCUUCAUGUCAUCUGUUCUCAAUAAAUCACCAUACCUAAAAGAAACUCCAUCAAUCGCUGAUUAGAUCUGGAGUAUAACUACCUUGCGUCCUGUGAGCAUCCUACCUAACACGUUCCUCAGCCAACGGCCGCCGCCGCCGCUCGAGAUGUCUUUAUUGGAUCCGCCACCCCUUACUCUCGGCUCCUUCUCCCUCCCUCUACACAGGUUCCUUUCUCUCCUGCUAGCAUCUAGCUUCUAUGGUCUCCAAGUUGUUGCCAUCCCUAAUACGAAGCUCAUGCGAUCAUCUAGCUUCUGUGGUCUGCUGCCUAUCAUCAUGGAUAAUCUCCAUAAGAUAUUGCAGGAGUUUAUAUCCAGGCUAAUCUCCAUAGGAGGGUGAUUUUGGUAAUCGUUCUGUUAACAUUCAGUAUAUUAUGGCACACUCUACACAAGCAAGAUGCAUGAUUUCUUCACUUGAUGUUGAUGGCUAUGGCCACGAAUACGUGUUCUCUUACUGCUACGUCUAAGUCCGGUUGCUCGAUCAAAUUGCUGAAUUUUAGACUCCAUGCUUCGUUUCUUACGUCCCAAUUUGUACUAUACUUUAAUACCUCUGGAGUAUGUAUAAUUUGUAUUUGUAUUUGUUACAUAAGGUUAUGCCCUUCUAUAAUGCUGAAUUUGUUACAUAAGGUUAUGUAUUUGUAUACUUUGUAUUUGUUACAUAAGGUUAUGCCCUUCUAUGUAUACUUUGUAUUUGUAUUUGUAUAGUUUGUAUUUGUUACAUAAGGUUAUGCCCUUCUAUAAUGCUGAAUUUCUCAUCGUGGGUUCCUUUCCUGCAGCUUUUAAUGAUAUCUUAGUGCGGGGUCUGAAGUUGAUUGAGAGACCACUCCUAUCUCAUGUUUGUGCUUCUCCGUAAUAGGUUUACCUUCUCUGGGUAUUUAAUUGUCCGUUGCUGACAGGGAGUGGUAAGAUUUAAUUACAUGGGUAUUAAAUUUCCAUGUUCCAGUUGUAGAAAGAUAUCAGAUCAUUGAUUUUUAUUUGUAUAAAAUAUUUUCUCAACUACUUUAGGAGCUGCUGAGAUUUCCUCUGGCCAAUCCUCUUGGAGAAGCAGUAGUGGAAGGAAGGAUGAAGUCUACACUCUAUACAUGUACGUCAAUUACAGGGAAGAGGACUUUCUUCUGUUGUGUGAGACACAAGUCUGCUUUAUUUCGGAUGUGCUAAUGGAAUUCAAGAUUUUAAAUAUUCUCACAUUAAGAUACGACUGUAAUUAUUACAUGUAUCCAUCUUUUGCUCAUAUAUAAGUACGAGUAUACAACUAAUGAUUUGUUCAAACAUUUAUUUAGGUUUUCCCUUUCUAGACUAAUAGUGUUUGUUCAAUGGUCAAUGCAUGCAGCAUUUACUAAAAUAAAACAUGGAGAUUACUUGAUUGGACUAAUAUGCCUCUACAGAGCCUACUUCAGGAAUAGAAUGACGAUGUUGCACAUCCCUUAUGCAUAGCUCAAGGACUGGUGCUCUUUUUCAGAAUUAAAAGCUACAACAUACAAAUAAUCUCGGAAUCUUUUUUUUCUUGAUAUCAACCAGUUAAGCUUUGUAGGUUACAAAGCUGUGAAUAGCUUGACACUCUUAUUCACAUUCAUUAUAAUUGAUCGGUUGAGUGAAACAAAAUUUAAAUGUUUCAGACAAACAUGAUCCAUUAUUUUCAAUUUCCAUCAAUCAUGUUUGUCUCAAUCAAUAGUUAAGUUUAAUAU